Molecule: ribosomal RNA, 160 nt
Filed under: uncultured bacterium
Lineage: Bacteria
Description: partial 16S ribosomal RNA
Source: RNAcentral
UUACCGCGGCUGCUGGCACCAGACUUGCCCUCCAAUUGCAUUUGGUAAGGUUUGUAAAUUACCCUCAUUACACUUCUAAGAAAACCUAGAGUUGUUAUUUCUUGUCACUGCCUCCCCGUGUCAGGAUUGGGCAAUUUUCGCGCCUGCUGCCUCCCGUAGG